This 254-nucleotide unclassified non-coding RNA is filed under the name Hevea brasiliensis (rubber tree). Lineage: Eukaryota; Viridiplantae; Streptophyta; Magnoliopsida; Malpighiales; Euphorbiaceae. The record is from RNAcentral.
GUCCACCAAGAUUUACCAUGCCGGGCAUGACACUCUAUUGUUCUUGUACAAGAAGAACACCGACAGUGUUUUGCAAGUGACUCAGGCGGACUAUAUUAAGUGCAAUACAAAGCAUCCCAUUGCAAGGUAUAACAGCGGGGCUGAUGCUAUCAAGCUGACUACCGUCGGGGAUUUCUACUUCAUCAGCGGCACGCCGAAGCACUGUCAACUUGGACAGAAGAUGCAUGCGAAGGUCACUCAGAGUGGGCAUUGAG